AACGAACGCUGGCGGCAGGCUUAACACAUGCAAGUCGAACGCUCGUAGCAAUACGGGAGUGGCGGACGGGGUGAGUAACGCGUGGGAACGUGCCCUGAGGUACGGAAUAACUGCGGGAAACUGCAGCUAAUACCGUAUGAGCCCCGUAGAGGGGGAAAGAUUUAUCGCCUUAAGGAGCGGCCCGCGUCGGAUUAGCUAGUUGGUGGGGUAACGGCUUACCAAGGCUUCGAUCCGUAGCUGGUCUGAGAGGACGAUCAGCCACACUGGGACUGAGACACGGCCCAGACUCCUACGGGAGGCAGCAGUGGGGAAUCUUGCGCAAUGGGGGCAACCCUGACGCAGCCAUGCCGCGUGAAUCGAUGAAGGCCUUAGGGUUGUAAAGUUC
This 385-nucleotide ribosomal RNA is filed under the name uncultured bacterium. Its description in RNAcentral is "bacterial SSU rRNA". It matches the Rfam family "Bacterial small subunit ribosomal RNA", at positions 29 to 433 of the family's 1533-position model. The record is from RNAcentral.